CAUACUUACAUACACACACAGACAUACUGACACACAAAGACAUGCUGACACACACACACAGACAUACUGACAUACACACAGACAGACUGGCACAUACACACAGACAGACAUUAAAACAUUCACAGAUACAUACUGACACACACAUACACUGACACACAAAUAUAUCCUGGCAGACAUACUGACACACACGUACACACACACACAGAGACAUACCUACAUACACACACACAGACAUACUGGCAUACACACAGACAUACUGACACACACACACACACACACACAGACAUACACACACAGACAUACUGGCAUACACACAGACAUACACACACACACACAUACUGGCAUACACACAGACAUACACACACACACAGACCUACUGACAUACAUUUAGCCACCCUCCAGGUUCUUACCUUUUCCUGG
Non-coding RNA from Pelobates cultripes (western spadefoot toad), 420 nucleotides. NCBI's taxonomy places the organism in Eukaryota, Metazoa, Chordata, Amphibia, Anura, Pelobatidae. The record is from the annotation of a GenBank genome assembly.